CCGUCCUUUACGCAUCCGUCCUUUGACGUCCGUCCGUUAGCAGAGGAGCCCACGUUGGUGGCGAGGUCUCAGGUGUGGCGUCACUGCCUGCUGCCGCUUCCUCUGGCGCUCUGGGCCGGAGCAAGAGCCGAGAAGAGGGCCUGUUUCCAGCCUCUCCUCGGAAGUGAUGCCCGGAAGUGACUCUGUGGAGCAGCUCAGUUACAGAGGCGAGGAGCCCGGGCAGCGGCUCGGGGCAGCGCACAGGCCGCAGCGCAGAAGGCUCGGCGUCGGGCACCAUGGUGACCAGGGUCGCCCUGGCCGCCCGGUGCCGGGGAUGAGGAGCGAGCAGACAUUGACAACCGAGGAAGUGAGGCGCAGAGAGAUUAAAUGAAACCCGCCGGGAUGACCCAGUACCAACAGAGCCAGCAUUUGAACUCGGGCUUCUGAGCCACGAGUCGUUUCGGGCCCAGGUCUUGUCCAGCCUCGGAUGGUGCUGUCAGGACAGACGCGAAGGGUUGUCCCCGACUGUGGUUGGUUCCUCUGGAAGAAAUCAAGAAAAAGUGGGAGCCUUUCUGGUGUUUCCUCAGGUUGAAGCUUGUAGAUUAUACAGCAGGUUCUCUGCCCAGCCAAGCAGCAUACCAUUCAUUCCCUCUGUCCCUGAGAGGGGAGCAGUCACAUCAGGAGGCCCAAAGGGAGACACCCAUAUGGUGAAGAGCUGCAGUCUCCAGCCACCAUUUGGCAAGAAGCUGGGGUCUGACAACACCUGUGUUGAUGAGCUCGGUGAUGAGGGUUCUGCAGUCGGACCUUGGCCAGAGCCAUGCAGUUUGGACAGUGGAAUACAACUCCACUAGACAAAGGGCUGCAAGGUGACACACUGCGGCUUCCUCCUCCUGGCAGACAGAGGGACCAAGGAUGGGGCAGAGGGAAGUGUCCCAGGCCCUUGUGGGCACCAGGUGGCUCCAAGUGUCAGAGAAGCCUGUGGCACUUUGGACUUGUCUUCUCUGUGCCGGACAGAGGCAGCUAGAUCAGGGCCCAGAAUCUCCCCCAUCCUGUGUGCAUGCUGCUUAGCCCAUCCCUGGCACCUGGACCGCCCUCAGCCUCUCCUCAGUGGGUGCAAGGAAAUCUUACAUGGUGAUUUGACACAUCUAACAAAUUGAGCUGCUUUUACAAAUCAACAAGGCCUGCCAGUUUUUUCCUUCUACCCAAGGCUGCCAGGUGCCCCUGACAAGUGCCAGGAGAUGGAAUAAAGCAGAUGGUGGGAAAUACAAGUG
RNAcentral lists this long non-coding RNA (1250 nucleotides) under Heterocephalus glaber (naked mole-rat). Its description in RNAcentral is "lncRNA (ENSHGLG00000038912.1)". Lineage: Eukaryota; Metazoa; Chordata; Mammalia; Rodentia; Bathyergidae. The record is from RNAcentral.